GGAAUUUUUCGCAAUGGGGGAAACCCUGACGAAGCAACGCCGCGUGGAGGAUGAAGGCCUUCGGGUCGUAAACUCCUGUCAACGGGGACGAAAGCAGUCGGUCUAAUACACCGUUCUGUUGACUGCACCUGUGGAGGAAGCCCCGGCUAACUCUGUGCCCGCAGCCGCGGUAAUACAGAGGGAGCAAGCGUUGUUCGGAAUUACUGGGCGUAAAGGGCGCGUAGGCGGUCUGGAAAGUCCCGCGUGAAAUCCCCCGGCUCAACUGGGGAACUGCGUGGGAAACUGCCAGUCUUGAGUUCGGGAGAGGGAAGCGGAAUUCCGGGUGUAGCGGUGAAAUGCGCAGAUAUCCGGAGGAACAUCGGUGGCGAAGGCGGCUUCCUGGACCGACACUGACGCUGAGGCGCGAAAGCUAGGGGAGCAAAC
Molecule: ribosomal RNA, 423 nt
Filed under: uncultured bacterium
Lineage: Bacteria
Description: bacterial SSU rRNA
Rfam family: Bacterial small subunit ribosomal RNA
Source: RNAcentral